GUGAUAUCAUCUUUUCUUCUCCACCUUCACCACCGAAAUUUAGCAAAAUAGGGGUUUGAGAGCUCAAAAAUUUCGGCAAGCUUUUCUCCUUACAAAUCAAGAAUUAAAGAAAUCGAACUUGGAUCGGGGGAAAACGAAAGUCGUCGAUUAAUCGUUCCGUUCCGGUUUAUCGUUGUCUGAGGUAAGUUUAUAAGAAAAUAGAUGAUAUAAAUUCUAAAUAAAUAUUAGUUAUAUAUAUGCUGAAAUGAAAACAUGCAAAUAUAUAUAUGUAGCCGAAUGUGUUUAAGUUCGGGUAAUAGAAAUAGACGUGGAUGUGAUUUACCGAUAUUUAGCACUGAGUGUGCGAGUGUGGAAUAGCUAUGGCUAUACGAACAGCACUAAGUGCGCGAAACUAAAAUGACAAUGUUGAAUAACGGGCACUAAGUGUGCGAAACAAAAAUGACGAUGUCGAAUAACGGGCACUAAGUGUGCGAUAUCAAUAUCAAUUUGGUUAAAUAAGAUAGAGCACUAAUUGUGCAACGUCAUUAUAGCUUCGACAAAUUAUUUAGCACAAAUUGUGCAAAUCCAAUGAAUGAUGAAUGUGACAUAUAAGUACAUGAUAUUACAAGUAUGUAAUAGUUAAAUAAUAUAUGAUAUCAAGGUAAGUUGGUUAUUUCAAUUGUGAUACAAAUUAGAUGAUGCAAAUGAAAGUAUGUGUGUGUAUUAAAGAUUAUAUUUGGCCAAAUGGUAAGUGUAUGUGAUAUCACAA
Molecule: long non-coding RNA, 748 nt
Organism: Gossypium raimondii (Peruvian cotton)
Lineage: Eukaryota; Viridiplantae; Streptophyta; Magnoliopsida; Malvales; Malvaceae
Exons: 2
Source: RefSeq, a predicted model, not a curated record